RNAcentral lists this ribosomal RNA (497 nucleotides) under uncultured bacterium. RNAcentral describes it as "partial 16S ribosomal RNA". It matches the Rfam family "Bacterial small subunit ribosomal RNA", at positions 28 to 507 of the family's 1533-position model. The record is from RNAcentral.
GAUGAACGCUGGCGGCGUGCCUAAUACAUGCAAGUCGAGCGAACAGACGCGGAGCUUGCUCCUCUGACGUUAGCGGCGGACGGGUGAGUAACACGUGGAUACCCUACCUAUAAGACUGGGAUCACUUCGGGAAACCGGAGCUAAUACCGGAUAAUCUAUUGAACCGCAUGGUUCAAUAGUGAAAGACGGUUUUGCUGUCACUUAUAGAUGGAUCCGCGCCGCAUUAGCUAGUUGGUAAGGUAACGGCUUACCAAGGCAACGAUGCGUAGCCGACGUGAGAGGGUGAUCGGCCACACUGGAAGUGAGACACGGUCCAGACUCCUACGGGAGGCAGCAGUAGGGAAUCUUCCGCAAUGGGCGAAAGCCUGACGGAGCAGGGCCGCGUGAGUGAUGAAGGUCUUCGGAUCGUAAAACUCUGUUAUUAGGGAAGAACAAAUGUGGAAGUAACUAUGCACGUCGUGACGGUACCUAAUCAGAAAGCCACGGCUAACUACGUG